This is a long non-coding RNA of Gorilla gorilla gorilla (western lowland gorilla), 266 nucleotides long. RefSeq lists it as uncharacterized. Lineage: Eukaryota; Metazoa; Chordata; Mammalia; Primates; Hominidae. The record is from RefSeq and is a predicted model, not a curated record. The transcript is spliced from 3 exons.
GCUCCCCAUCCCAGGGCUUCACCCUUCCUCAUGGAACUGCACUCCAGAUUCACUGAAGCAGCCCCAGCUCCACAUUUUGCUUCUCCCUCACUGCCCUGUGAGUAGGUGCCAUUCAAAGUCCCUUCAAUAAUGGGAAAAAUAAUCCCAUAAACCUCACUGGAGUGAAGUACGAGUGACGAUAUGGAAUGAAGAUCUGAUGGUGAAGUUUCAGGAGCUGAGUUCCUGAGUACAGACCUUAGCAUCUCUGCAAGAAGACUGACACCAGC